UCUGAAGAAGGGUUGUUGCCUGGUUGAUUGUGUGAUGGCGGUGAUGGGAGCUGCUGCCACUAGAUGUCGUCAUAUACCAUCCGUGGGAAACAUUGAAAUACUGAAAGGCAAAUGGACAAAAAGCUGAUUCCAGAAUGAUUAUCCAGCCAUAAACAAAUAAAUCAUUUAACACCCUGGUACAUUUUUUUUUGCAUUCUGGAAGUAAUUGAAUGCAAAGUUGAAAUGGUGCACCUAUGCCCAUUGGCAUGUCUGAGUCAGCGCACGCUUGCGUGCAGUCAUGUUUUUCUCAGCGCACUCGUAAGCGUAGGUGUGCGUUGGUCACACGGGCCUUGGCGUCAGAAUGUCUCCCUUUCCUAAGGGUUAAGUAAGGAUGGACAGAUUUAUGACUUCUAGCAUGAGAAAAGCUUUUGGCAGCUCCUCUGUUGUUCAUAAAGUGUGUGUGUGUGUGUGUG
Gasterosteus aculeatus aculeatus (three-spined stickleback) is the source of this 452-nucleotide long non-coding RNA. Lineage: Eukaryota; Metazoa; Chordata; Actinopteri; Perciformes; Gasterosteidae. The record is from Ensembl.